Molecule: ribosomal RNA, 462 nt
Filed under: uncultured bacterium
Lineage: Bacteria
Description: partial 16S ribosomal RNA
Rfam family: Bacterial small subunit ribosomal RNA
Source: RNAcentral
GACGAACGCUGGCGGCGUGCUUAACACAUGCAAGUCGAGCGACGCUCUUCCUUCGGGGAGAUGACGGAGCGGCGAACGGGUGAGUAACACGUGGGCAACCUGCCCCUAGCUCUGGGACAACACCGGGAAACCGGUGCUAAUACCGGAUACGACAUCGAGCGGCAUCUCUCGAUGUGGAAAGUUUUUUCGGCUAGGGAUGGGCCCGCGGCCUAUCAGCUUGUUGGUGGGGUAAUGGCCCACCAAGGCGACGACGGGUAGCCGGCCUGAGAGGGCGACCGGCCACACUGGGACUGAGACACGGCCCAGACUCCUACGGGAGGCAGCAGUGGGGAAUAUUGCGCAGUGGGCGAAAGCCUGACGCAGCGACGCCGCGUGAGGGAGGACGGCCUUCGGGUUGUAAACCUCUUUCAGCAGGGACGAAUUCAGACGGUACCUGCAGAAGAAGCACCGGCCAACUACGUG